AUUUAAGUAGUUUAAUUAAAAUAUAGAUUUGUGGAUUCUAAGAUGCUUUCAGCCUUAAAUU
Molecule: transfer RNA, 61 nt
Filed under: Macropsis notata
Lineage: Eukaryota; Metazoa; Arthropoda; Insecta; Hemiptera; Cicadellidae
Description: tRNA-His
Source: RNAcentral